GGGAAGGUAGCUCAGUGGUAGAGUGAGUGCAUGCCUUGCAAACAUGAGGCCCUGGGUUCGAUUCCUCAGCACCCCA
RNAcentral lists this transfer RNA (76 nucleotides) under Dipodomys ordii (Ord's kangaroo rat). It matches the Rfam family "tRNA". Rfam says of the family: Transfer RNA (tRNA) molecules are approximately 80 nucleotides in length. The record is from Rfam by way of RNAcentral. Lineage: Eukaryota; Metazoa; Chordata; Mammalia; Rodentia; Heteromyidae.